AUGUGGGAAACCACGAUGCGGGAACACCAAGUGCCAGCACAUAGUGUUGGCUGUUUGCGAGCCUAAAAAGCUCGGAGAGUAAGGGCUGGGUAAGACGGGUGCCAGCCGCCGCGGUAAUACCUGCAGCCCAAGUGGUGGCCGUUAUUAUUGGGCCUAAAGCGUCCGUAGCCGGUUUGGUAGAUGCCUUUGUAAAUCGAACGGCUCAACCGUUCGACUUGAGGGUAGACCGCCAGACUCGGGAUCGGGAGAGGUGCGAGGUACUCGGGGGGUAGAGGUGAAAUUCUGUAAUCCUCCGGGGACCACCGGUGGCGAAGGCGUCGCACUUGAACGACUCCGACGGUGAGGGACGAAGCCCUGGGGCGCAAACCGGAUUAGAUACCCGGGUAGUCC
This 390-nucleotide ribosomal RNA is filed under the name uncultured archaeon. Its description in RNAcentral is "bacterial SSU rRNA". It matches the Rfam family "Archaeal small subunit ribosomal RNA", at positions 355 to 747 of the family's 1478-position model. The record is from RNAcentral.